AGGAUUCCCUAGUACGGCGAGUGAGAGGGAAGAGCCCAAGAUUGAAAGCUGGCGUCUUCGGCGUCCGCAUUGUAAUCUCAAGAAGUGUUUUCCGCUUCGGACCAAGCCUAAGUCCCCUGGAAAGGGGCAUCAUAGAGGGUGAUAAUCCCGUACAUGGCUUGGAGCGCCCGAGGCUUUGUGAUACGCUUUCUAAGAGUCGAGUUGUUUGGGAAUGCAGCUCAAAAUGGGUGGUAAAUGCCAUCUAAGGCUAAAUAUUGGGGAGAGACCGAUAGCGAACAAGUACAGUGAUGGAAAGAUGAAAAGAACUUUGAAAAGAGAGUUAAACAGUACGUGAAAUUGCCAAAAGGGAAGGGUAGGAGGUCAGAGAUGCGGCCUGGGAUUCAGCCUUGCUUUUGCUUGGUGUUUUUCCCAGAUUGCAGGCCAACGUCGGUUUUGGGCACUGGAGAAGGGUAGGAGGAACGUGGCACCCCUCGGGGUGUGUUAUAGCCUCCUACUGGAUACAGCGACCGAGACCGAGGACAGCAGCGUACUCGCAAGAGCGGGCCUUCGGGCACCUUUACGCUUAGGGCGUUGGCAUAAUGGCCCUCUACCACCCGUCUG
This 600-nucleotide ribosomal RNA is filed under the name Pseudozyma sp. RNAcentral describes it as "LSU rRNA". It matches the Rfam family "Eukaryotic large subunit ribosomal RNA", at positions 71 to 655 of the family's 3401-position model. The record is from RNAcentral. Lineage: Eukaryota; Fungi; Basidiomycota; Ustilaginomycetes; Ustilaginales; Ustilaginaceae.